This 297-nucleotide small RNA is filed under the name Pan troglodytes (chimpanzee). RNAcentral's name for it is "processed transcript". The record is from RNAcentral. Lineage: Eukaryota; Metazoa; Chordata; Mammalia; Primates; Hominidae.
GUGACGGCUGGGUUGGGACCAGAACGCCGAAGCGGGGUUAGGGGUGGCAGAAAAGCAUCUGCUUUGUAAGACCUACACGAGGUGCAGGAGUGGUUGGGCCUCCCCUCUCCACUUAAGCAAGCGCCCAGACUGAUGGCGAUGGUGAUGGCAGCAGUUACUCGGACAACCCCAGUUAAGCUGCGCUCCGGGAGUGACUUCCGUUUGUGGAGCCUAAGUGUUUCUACAGAAUCCAACUCAAAUAUCAAGGACUAUGAUCAGAAUGCUUUCAAGGAGUUUUUGGGCACAUGAUGGCAGGUA